AUGAGUCUCUCUUAGUGAUGCAGUGGAAAAACGAAAAUAUUCAACGCACUCCAUAAACUGUUUUUACUGAGAAUAUUGGAUAUUUGGGGGUCAAAUAUUCGUUGGUUCUAACAAAGAAUACCAAAAAUUUAACAAGAUGAAAAAACUUUCAAUUUUAUCCAAUUAUCAACCAACAAAAAAAGUCUACUUGUUAAGUGUUUAUGUAGAAAACCUAGAUGAGAAAAAAAUCCUAACUUGCAGAAUGACUCAAGUGCUCUUUGUUAUAAUUUAAAAUGAAAGAAAUGAAACAAUAAUAAAUUUAUGAAAGCAAUUAAAAAAAUCCCUGAUUUUUUUUUGAGUUUAGACUUCAUCACUUCACCAGUCCUCAAAGUAUCAAAUCGUAGUUUCAGUUUAAAUGCAGGACAAUCUUUUUUCAUUACUGAAGAAUGCACUUCAUUUCAUCCUUUUGUCUACCAGCAGAGUUGCAAUGGUGCCAGUUACCUAUUCCCAAUCCCUCAAGAAACUCCGGUUCUUGCCUUCUUUAUGCAUUUGGUGGUAAUAGAAUUAUGCAACUCAAAACCAUAUACUUCGUUAUGUAGUUUUAUUAUAUUCGGAUAUAUAAUUUAUACAGGCUUUAUGUAAAUAAAAGUGUUUGGCCGAAAGAUAAAAUAGGAAAAAACCUUCUGCUGGUGUCAUUUCAUCUCCUGUUAGUGUUUAUUGGGUUCAAAUGUCAAAAUCCAGUUGGUAAUUAUAAUUGUCAUAGAGCUAGUAUUAAUAGAUUAUUUUUAAGAUGUAUUCUACAGUCAGUCGAAGGGGUCAUCAAGCUUAUGUACUUUCCAUAUUGCAAUUUAGCAAUGAAAGAGAUGGAAUGGCUACAUAUUUCCAUUUCAGUUUUGUGAAAGUUUAUCAUCACGUUGAGGAUAGUAUUCUGUUAAGAGAGAGAGCUUCGAUGAGCUGCAUGGUUAAACUCCUAUGGGAUCCUAUAACAUAGUUCCUUUCUUCUCCAAUGCAAUUCAGCAUGCACAUGCAUACGGAGAAGGGGUAGCAAAAGAAAAUAUGAUGUCAAGCAGUUCAUACAUCUUUCUCCCAAGAUUGGGCCUUUUCUUUUCUUCUUAUUGUUCUUUUGGGGUGGGGGUGGUAUCUUAUAAUUGAAUUUAUCGUAUUUUUGUAUGGAAUCAAACUUCAGAAUACAAUAUGGUUCUCAGAGUCCUUUUAUUGUCCCUCUUGAUAAUAAAGUUGUACGGGCACAGCGCAAUCUAGUUUUUGGUCUGCUCUUGCGGAUCCUUUUGCAUGUUAUAUUGGUGUGUUCUGAAG
This 1293-nucleotide long non-coding RNA is filed under the name Olea europaea subsp. europaea. Lineage: Eukaryota; Viridiplantae; Streptophyta; Magnoliopsida; Lamiales; Oleaceae. The record is from RNAcentral.